UGCUUUUUAUCUUUUUAAUUUAAAAAUAAAAUUAAGUAAAUUUUGAAAACAGAAUUUUGUUGCUUUUAAAUUUUUUUUAAAACACAUUUUUCACUUCCCUAUCUCUCGUCUUCUUCAACCAGCACUACAUCGACGAUUUCUUUUUCUCUCAUCCAUGGCUUCCACUCUCCACUCAGAUUUCUUUGGCCAAUAAACCUGACCAGAGUACCUAGCAGGAUCUGUUAUCACAUCUUUUAAAGAGCCUUGCUAACCAAACAAGUGAGCAAGGGGGAAAAAUGUAGCUGGCCUUUUGCGUGACCCCCAAAAUGUUCUGCAUGAUGGGACUUCAGUUGGAAACUCAGAAGUUGUUUCUACUUUUCUUUCAAAUGGUUCUCAAGGCCCUCCAAGGCCUAUCAAAUAGAAUCAUGUUGUAUAUAUUUCGGAAAUGCCACAACAAGGCAUUCAUCUACAUGACACUAAUGGUGGAUUUUGGGGUUAUGCAUCUGAGAAAGCUCAAUUUCUAGUCAGAGGUACAAACUUGGUGCGACCUGCCACGAGGUUAUUAUGUGCUCUAGAAGGGAAAUAUCUGGUUCAGGAAGCCACCCAUGAGUUAAUGGAUGGUGAUGAUAACUCGGAGCAUGAUGAGCAAUGCAUCAAUUUUUCUUGUCCUAUUGAAGUUACAAAUGGAUGAGGAUUUAUAGAGGUGUUGUUUUCUUAUGAUUCUUCUCGAAUGUAUAGUUCAUUCUAGUCAGGGCAAUAAGGAAUUUUCAACAUCAUUUUGUAUUGUUUUCCUAUUUGGUUAUAUCUUUAUGUUGAGAGUGGUAAAUCAUGGUGUCAAUUACUACUCUAAAAGAGCUUUGUAACAUGAAUUAUCUGUACAUUUUCUGGUUAGCAGUAUGUUUUAUUAUUAACAUCAAUGGUAUAAUAAUAGAAUUGAUAUUGUUUUUUGCCA
Molecule: long non-coding RNA, 931 nt
Organism: Humulus lupulus (European hop)
Lineage: Eukaryota; Viridiplantae; Streptophyta; Magnoliopsida; Rosales; Cannabaceae
Exons: 3
Source: RefSeq, a predicted model, not a curated record